This 495-nucleotide ribosomal RNA is filed under the name uncultured bacterium. Its description in RNAcentral is "partial 16S ribosomal RNA". It matches the Rfam family "Bacterial small subunit ribosomal RNA", at positions 28 to 507 of the family's 1533-position model. The record is from RNAcentral.
GACGAACGCUGGCGGCGUGCCUAAUACAUGCAAGUAGAACGCUGAAGGAGGAGCUUGCCCUUCUGGAUGAGUUGCGAACGGGUGAGUAACGCGUAGGUAACCUGCCUGUUAGCGGGGGAUAACUAUUGGAAACGAUAGCUAAUACCGCAUAACAGUAGAUGAUGCAUGACAUUUGCUUAAAAGGUGCAAUUGCACCACUACCAGAUGGACCUGCGUUGUAUUAGCUAGUUGGUGGGGUAACGGCUCACCAAGGCGACGAUACAUAGCCGACCUGAGAGGGUGAUCGGCCACACUGGGACUGGGACACGGCCCAGACUCCUACGGGGGGCAGCAGUAGGGAAUCUUCGGCAAUGGGCGGAAGUCUGAACGAGCAACGCCGCGUGAGGGAAGAAGGUUUUCGGAUCGUAAAGCUCUGUUGUAAGAGAAGAACGAGUGUGGGAGUGGAAAGUUCACACUGUGACGGUAUCUUAUCAGAAAGGGACGGCUAACUACGUG